CUCUAGAGUCAUCAUGUGAUCCCAGGAUGAGGAUGCCAAUGGUAGGCAUCUGUGUUCUGACUCCAGGGGACACCAGCAGUAUACUCCCAGAAUAUAGACAGACUGACAGAGACCACACCACACUGUGAGACUGCACUGCUGGUGUCACUGACAACUUCAUUUCCUCUGAACUGCCUGAGAAGACGUUCGAUAACUCACAUGGUAAUGCUUCUAAUAUUCAGAAAGUUUUAGUGUGACAUUUGAAGGAAAUCACUAUUGGGUUAUG
RNAcentral lists this long non-coding RNA (265 nucleotides) under Cricetulus griseus (Chinese hamster). RNAcentral's name for it is "lncRNA (ENSCGRG00000026445.1)". Lineage: Eukaryota; Metazoa; Chordata; Mammalia; Rodentia; Cricetidae. The record is from RNAcentral.